Molecule: long non-coding RNA, 3518 nt
Filed under: Homo sapiens (human)
Lineage: Eukaryota; Metazoa; Chordata; Mammalia; Primates; Hominidae
Description: non-protein coding lnc-FNDC10-1:6
Rfam family: Metazoan signal recognition particle RNA (bases 2695-2842)
Source: RNAcentral
GCGUCACGCGGGAGCGUCUGCGUCGCCUACCCUGCGUGGCGCAGCUAGGUUCCGAGCGGCUUAGCCUCCGGGCGCCUGCGCAGUGGCGGUCCUAGAGACGCACUCGGUUGCCAUAGAGACGGGGGCUUGGGAGCGACGUCGCGCUCGCUGGCACUGGCGGCACUUGCCGCGCCGCAGCCACCUCUUUCCGACUCCACCAGUGCGGGCCCUAUCCGGGGUUUUGAGUCACGCAGACCUGGACACAGCGAGAAACGGCAGUCCGGGCCCGUCCUCCCGCCCCGGGUUCUGCACCCCAGAGUUGGACGCUUGCUUCUCGCUUUCUCCUGAGAGAAGUCUCCGCGUUUCUGAACAAUGCACUGCUAGUUUCUCAUUUCUUUCUUUCUUUCUUUUUUUUUUUUUGGAGACGGAGCCUCGCCCUGUCGCCCAGGCUGGAGUGCAAUGGCGCGAUCUCGGCUCAUUGCAACCUCCGCCUCCAGGGCUUAAACUAUUCUCUUGCUUCAGCCUCCCGAGCAGCUGGGACUACAGGCAUGCGCUACCACGCACAGCUAAUUUUUGCAUUUUUAGUCAAGACGGGGUUUCACCAUUUUGGCCAGGCUGAUUUCGAACUCCUGACCUCGUGAUCUGCCCUCCUAGGGCUCCCAACGUGCUGGGAUUAUAGGCGUGAGCCACCGCGCCCGGCCUCUCAUUUCUUAAUUGUAGACAUUGCGUACUUCCGGAGAAGGUCCCUGAGAACCUGGCUGAUCUUCCCCGCUGCACCCCUCACGUGGUCCUGUUAGCUCCCAAACUGUCAACCUGAAAGGAAACCCAGAGGCAGGCUCUCCAGGACAAGUGAGUUAAUCUGGGAAUCGCAGGGGGUUGCAGCCUAGGCUGUUCGUGCCAUGACAGAUCAUAGGCCUAUCUGAGAGGGCCGGGCGAAGGGGAAAAUACAGAUGAGCUCACAAAAGUUGUUUUGUAACAAAAACCACUGGCUGUGGGCGCUUGCUGCAGGAGUGGGCGUUAGCUUGUUGUUGGAGAGAGCCUUACCAGGCCGACGUCCUUGUGCAAGCUGCUUAUCUAGAAUACUGCAGUCCUGAGGAAUUUCCCUGCAGUAAGUCCGGUUACAGGCAAACGUGCAGGACGUGCAGGAGCGUCUUGUGAGGAGGCCUGCUGCAGGUAUUCCUGCAUGAGAGCUCCCCCUUCGUGGCCUCCCGACUCCAUUUGUUUAGGGAUUGGUGGAAGUAGUUCCAUUUUGGUACCUGCAACUUUCACAGCUGUCGUGAUGAAAUCAGGCUUAGCUCUUCAUGAUUGAGUACCUGCUGUUCACUGCUACAGUAUAAAACCAUGCCACAAUUCCUGUACAAUCUUUUUUUUUCUUUUGAGUUAAUAAUUACCUAAUAUUUUCACAUAUCUAGCUUUUUACUAACCCAUGGCCAGCCUUUUUUUCAAGUACCCCAACGUUUUCGCCACAUGCCUAACGAUACCGUUUUCCAAAGGCUCAAACACAUCCGUUGUGUCUAACUGAUUCUCCUGUUCCGACCUAGACCGAUCACUUCCUGACCCGGCUGCACAGCUCUUAUCUCGAGCUUUUCUCUGCUCUCAUCCUUGAGACUCACUUUGUCUGUCUCCUUUCUUGGAUUCCCUGUGUAAACGAAAAAUAAAAUCCUAAGCUCUCUACCAACUGUUUUUUGUUUUGUUUUGUAUUUGAGACAGGGUCUUGCUCUGUUGCCCAGGCUGGAGUGCAGUGGCACUAUCUUGGUUGACUGCAGCCUCUGCUUCCUGGAUUCAAGUGAUCCUCCCACCUCAGCCUCCUGAGUAGCUAGGACCACAGACAUGCACCACCAUGCCGGUUAUUUUUAAAUUUUUAGUAGAGACAGGGUGUCACCAUGUUGCCCAGGCUGGUCUCAAACUCCUGGGCUAUGCUGUUUGCUCACCUCUGCCUUCUGAAGUGCUGGGAUUGGCUGGGUGCGAUGGCUUCACGCCUGUAAUCCCAGCAGUUUGGGAGGCUGAGGAGGGCAGAUCACUUGAGGUCAGGAGUUCAUGACCAACCUGACCAACAUGGUGAAGCCCUGUCUCUACUAAAAAUACAAAAAUACAAAAAAAAAAAAUAUUAGCCAGGCAUGGUGGUGCACGCCUGUAGUCCCAGCUACUUGGGAGGCUGAGGCAGGAGAAUUGCUUGAGCCCAGGAGGUGGAGGUUGCAGUGAGCUGAGAUCGUGACACUGCACUCCAGCCUGGGGAACAGAGCAAGAAUCCGUCUCAAAAAAAAAAAAAAAAAAAGCCAGACGCGGUGGCUCAUGCCUGCAAUCCCAGCACUUUGGGAGGCCAAGGCAGGCAGAUCAUGAGGUCAUAAGAUCGAGACCAGCCUGGCCAACAUGGUGAAACCCCGUCUCUACUAAAAAUACAAAAAUUAGCUGGGUGUGGUGGUGGGCACCUGUAAUCCCAGCUACUUGGGAGGCUGAGCCAGGAGAAUGGCUUGAACCCAGGAAUCGGAGGUUACAGUGAGCCAAGAUCAUGCCACCGUACGCCAGCCUGGUGACAGAGGAAGACUCUGUCUCAAAAAAAAAAAAAAAGAAAAAAAACCAGCCAGGCACAGUGGCUCACGCCUGUAAUCCCAACACUUUGUGAGGCCAAGGUGGGAGGAUCACCUGUGGCCAGGAGUUGGAGACCAGCCUUGCCAACAUGGCAAAACCCCAUCUCUACUAAAAAUACAAAAAUUAGCCGGGCUUGGUGGUGCUCGCCUGUAGUCCCAGCUACUUGGGAGGCUGAGGUGGGAGAAUUGCUUGAACCCAGGAGGCAGAGGUUGCAGUGAGCCAAGAUCUGGCCACUGCACUCCAGCCUGGGUGACAGAGUGAGACUCCGUCUCAAAAACAAAAAAAACAAAAAAAAAAAAAGAAAAGAAAAAGAAAAAACAAAAGUGCUGGGAUGUGAGCCACCACACCCAGCCAGCCCUCCACCAACUGAACAGAUUCCCUUUUGACCAAGGGGACCCCAGAGAAAUUUUUAAAACUGAGUUUCCAGCCGGGUGGAUCCGCCUAUAACCUAUAAGCCCCCACUUCAAGAUAUCCCACCUUUUUAGGCCAAACCAACGUAUACCUUCUAUGUAUGUAUUUAUGUCUUUGCUUAUAACUCCUGCCUUUCUAAAGUGUACAAAACCAAACUAAACCGACCACUUCAGAACCACUUACUGAAGGCUUCUCGGAUGUGUGUUUUCCUGGGGCCCACAGUCAUUCAUAUUGGCUCAAAGUAAACCUUUUGAAAGUAUUUUGUGAAGCUGGACAUGGUGGCUCAUGCCUGUAAUCCCAGCCCUCUGGGAGGCUGAGGUGAUUGGACCACUUGAGCCCAGGAUUUAGAGACCAUCCUGGGCAACAUGUUGAAAUCCCAUCUCUACAAAAUAUACAAAACUUAGCUGGGUGUGGUGGCACGUGCCUAUGGUUCCAGCUACUCUGGGGGCUGCGGUGGGAGGAUCGUUUGAGCCUGGGAAACGGAGGCUGCAGUGAGCUGAGAUCGCACCACUGCACUCUAACCUGGGCAACAGAAUGAA